Molecule: ribosomal RNA, 333 nt
Filed under: uncultured Nitrospirota bacterium
Lineage: Bacteria; Pseudomonadati; Nitrospirota
Description: bacterial SSU rRNA
Rfam family: Bacterial small subunit ribosomal RNA
Source: RNAcentral
AACGAACGCUGGCGGCGUGCUUAACACAUGCAAGUCCUACGAGAAAGUCCCUUCGGGGAUGAGUAAAGUGGCGAACGGGUGAGUAAUACGUGGGUAACCUGCCUUUACGACUGGGAUAACAUUCCGAAAGGAGUGCUAAUACCGGAUAAGACCACGAUACGGGAGUAUUGUGGGAAAACGAUGGCCUCUGACUUAAGCUAUCGCGUAGAGAUGGGCCCACGGCCUAUCAGCUUGUUGGCGGGUAACGCCACAAGGCUUCGACGGGUAGCCGGCCUGAGAGGGUGAACGGCCACACUGGAACUGAGACACGGUCCAGACUCCUACGGGUGGCAG